This 465-nucleotide ribosomal RNA is filed under the name uncultured bacterium. RNAcentral describes it as "partial 16S ribosomal RNA". It matches the Rfam family "Bacterial small subunit ribosomal RNA", at positions 28 to 506 of the family's 1533-position model. The record is from RNAcentral.
GACGAACGCUGGCGGCGUGCUUAACACAUGCAAGUCGUGCGGUAAGGCCCUUUCGGGGGUACACGAGCGGCGAACGGGUGAGUAACACGUGAGCAACCUGCCCUUCACUUUGGGAUAACUGCCGGAAACGGUGGCUAAUACCGGAUAUGACUUCCUCACGCAUGUGGGGUGGUGGAAAGCCUUCGGGUGGUGGGGGAUGGGCUCGCGGUCUAUCAGCUUGUUGGUGGGGUGAUGGCCUACCAAGGCUUCGACGGGUAGCCGGCCUGAGAGGGUGACCGGCCACAAGGGACGUGGGAAGGGGCCCGGAACACGAAGGGGGGAAGGGGGGGGGAAUUGUGGAAAAGGGGCGAAAGCGGGAAACAGGAACCCCGGGGGGGGAAGGAGGGCCUUGGGGUUGGAAACGUCUUUGGCCUGCAAAGAAGGGAGGGGAAGGGAGGGAGGUAAAGAGACACCGGCCAAAUACGU